This 27-nucleotide non-coding RNA is filed under the name Mus musculus (house mouse). Lineage: Eukaryota; Metazoa; Chordata; Mammalia; Rodentia; Muridae. The record is from RNAcentral.
UGGUCUUCUGUGUCUUCAUAUUUGUGC